GAUGAAGAACGCAGUGAAAUGCGAUAAGUAGUGUGAAUUGCAGAAUUCAGUGAAUCAUCGAAUCUUUGAACGCACAUUGCGCCCCUUGGUAUUCCAUGGGGCAUGCCUGUUCGAGCGUCAUUUGUACCCUCAAGCUAUGCUUGGUGUUGGGUGUUUGUCCUCUCCUUUGCGAUUGGACUCGCCUUAAAGACAUUGGCAGCCAGUGUAUUGGUCUUGAAGCGCAGCACAUUUUGCGAUUCUUGCUGAUAAUCACUAGCGUCCAGUAAGCCUAUUUUAACACUUUUGACCUCGGAUCAGGUAGGGAUACCCGCUGAACUUAAGCAUAUCAAUAAGCGGAGGA
RNAcentral lists this unclassified non-coding RNA (340 nucleotides) under soil metagenome. RNAcentral's name for it is "partial contains 5.8S ribosomal RNA, internal transcribed spacer 2, and large subunit ribosomal RNA". The stretch from base 1 to 120 matches the Rfam family "5.8S ribosomal RNA", at positions 35 to 154 of the family's 154-position model. The record is from RNAcentral.